RNAcentral lists this ribosomal RNA (994 nucleotides) under human gut metagenome. Its description in RNAcentral is "bacterial SSU rRNA". It matches the Rfam family "Bacterial small subunit ribosomal RNA", at positions 394 to 1396 of the family's 1533-position model. The record is from RNAcentral.
ACGCCGCGUGCGGGAUGACGGCCUUCGGGUUGUAAACCGCUUUUGAUCGGGAGCAAGCCUUCGGGUGAGUGUACCUUUCGAAUAAGCACCGGCUAACUACGUGCCAGCAGCCGCGGUAAUACGUAGGGUGCAAGCGUUAUCCGGAAUUAUUGGGCGUAAAGGGCUCGUAGGCGGUUCGUCGCGUCCGGUGUGAAAGUCCAUCGCUUAACGGUGGAUCUGCGCCGGGUACGGGCGGGCUGGAGUGCGGUAGGGGAGACUGGAAUUCCCGGUGUAACGGUGGAAUGUGUAGAUAUCGGGAAGAACACCAAUGGCGAAGGCAGGUCUCUGGGCCGUUACUGACGCUGAGGAGCGAAAGCGUGGGGAGCGAACAGGAUUAGAUACCCUGGUAGUCCACGCCGUAAACGGUGGAUGCUGGAUGUGGGGCCCGUUCCACGGGUUCCGUGUCGGAGCUAACGCGUUAAGCAUCCCGCCUGGGGAGUACGGCCGCAAGGCUAAAACUCAAAGAAAUUGACGGGGGCCCGCACAAGCGGCGGAGCAUGCGGAUUAAUUCGAUGCAACGCGAAGAACCUUACCUGGGCUUGACAUGUUCCCGACAGCCGUAGAGAUGCGGCCUCCCUUCGGGGCGGGUUCACAGGUGGUGCAUGGUCGUCGUCAGCUCGUGUCGUGAGAUGUUGGGUUAAGUCCCGCAACGAGCGCAACCCUCGCCCUGUGUUGCCAGCACGUCAUGGUGGGAACUCACGGGGGACCGCCGGGGUCAACUCGGAGGAAGGUGGGGAUGACGUCAGAUCAUCAUGCCCCUUACGUCCAGGGCUUCACGCAUGCUACAAUGGCCGGUACAACGGGAUGCGACAUGGCGACAUGGAGCGGAUCCCUGAAAACCGGUCUCAGUUCGGAUUGGAGUCUGCAACCCGACUCCAUGAAGGCGGAGUCGCUAGUAAUCGCGGAUCAGCAACGCCGCGGUGAAUGCGUUCCCGGGCCUUGUACACACCGCCCG